RNAcentral lists this ribosomal RNA (1509 nucleotides) under uncultured prokaryote. Its description in RNAcentral is "partial 16S ribosomal RNA". It matches the Rfam family "Bacterial small subunit ribosomal RNA". The record is from RNAcentral.
GAUCCUGGCUCAGAAUCAACGCUGGCGGCGUGCCUAAUACAUGCAAGUCGGACGCGAAAGUCCCGCAAGGGGCGAGUAGAGUGGCAAACGGGUGAGUAACGCGUGGGCGACCUACCUUCGAGUGGGGGACAACCUUCCGAAAGGAAGGCUAAUACCGCAUGACAUACCGUGUUUAGAUACACGGACAUCAAAGUCGGGGAUCGCAAGACCUGACGCUUGAAGAGGGGCCCGCGUCCGAUUAGCUAGUUGGUGGGGUAACGGCCCACCAAGGCCCCGAUCGGUAUCCGGCCUGAGAGGGCGGACGGACACACUGGAACUGAGACACGGUCCAGACUCCUACGGGAGGCAGCAGUAGGGAAUUGUUCACAAUGGGCGCAAGCCUGACGACGCAACGCCGCGUGGAGGAUGAAGCCCUUCGGGUCGUAAACUCCUUUCGACCGAGAUGAAUACCUGCCGGCCUAAUACGUCGGCAGGCUGACAGUAUCGAGGGAAGAAGCCCCGGCUAACUCCGUGCCAGCAGCCGCGGUAAUACGGGGGGGGCAAGCGUUGUUCGGAAUUACUGGGCGUAAAGGGCUCGUAGGCGGCCAGCCAAGUCGGACGUGAAAUCCCUCGGCUUAACCGGGGAACUGCGUCCGAUACUGGUUGGCUUGAAGUCGGGAGAGGGAUGCGGAAUUCCAGGUGUAGCGGUGAAAUGCGUAGAUAUCUGGAGGAACACCGGUGGCGAAGGCGGCAUCCUGGACCGAUCUUGACGCUGAGGAGCGAAAGCUAGGGGAGCAAACGGGAUUAGAUACCCCGGUAGUCCUAGCCCUAAACGAUGAAUGCUUGGUGUGGCGGGUUGAUCCCUGCCGUGCCGGAGCUAACGCAUUAAGCAUUCCGCCUGGGGAGUACGGUCGCAAGGCUGAAACUCAAAGGAAUUGACGGGGGCCCGCACAAGCGGUGGAGCAUGUGGUUUAAUUCGACGCAACGCGAAGAACCUUACCUGGGCUUGAACUGUAGUUGACUGUCCGUGGAAACAUGGACUUUCCCUUCGGGGACUGCUGUAGAGGUGCUGCACGGCUGUCGUCAGCUCGUGUCGUGAGAUGUUGGGUUAAGUCCCGCAACGAGCGCAACCCUUGUCCUGUGUUGCUACUUCUUCGGAAGGCACUCUCAGGAGACCGCCAGCGACAAGUUGGAGGAAGGUGGGGACGACGUCAAGUCAUCGUGGCCUUUAUGUCCAGGGCUACACACGUGCUACAAUGGCCGGUACAAAGCGCUGCCAACCCGCGAGGGGGAGCCAAUCGCAAAAAACCGGUCUCAGUUCGGAUUGCAGGCUGCAACCCGCCUGCAUGAAGCUGGAAUCGCUAGUAAUGGCGUAUCAGAACGACGCCGUGAAUACGUUCCCGGGCCUUGUACACACCGCCCGUCACAUCACGAAAGUGGAUUGUACUAGAAGUCUGCAUGCUAACCUUCGGGAGGCAGCGGCCCAAGGUGUGAUCCAUGAUUGGGGUGAAGAGUCGUAACAAGGUAACC